RNAcentral lists this ribosomal RNA (119 nucleotides) under Gossypium hirsutum (cotton). Lineage: Eukaryota; Viridiplantae; Streptophyta; Magnoliopsida; Malvales; Malvaceae. The record is from RNAcentral.
GGGUGCGAUCAUACCAGCACUAAUGCACCGGAUCCCAUCAGAACUCCGCAGUUAAGGGUGCUUGGGCGAGAGUAGUACUAGGACGGGUGACCUCCUGGGAUGUCCUCGUGUUGCACCAC